ACUCACCACGCCUCAUACUCGGGGAUAGCCUUUCGAAAGAAAGAUUAAUAUCCGAUAGCAUAUAUUUCCCGCAUGGGUUUUAUAUUAAAGAAAUUCGGUAUGAGAUGGGGAUGCGUUCCAUUAGUUUGUUGGGGGGGUAACGGCCCACCAAGACUACGAUGGAUAGGGGUUCUGAGAGGAAGGUCCCCCACAUUGGAACUGAGACACGGUCCAA
RNAcentral lists this ribosomal RNA (214 nucleotides) under uncultured bacterium. RNAcentral's name for it is "partial 16S ribosomal RNA". It matches the Rfam family "Bacterial small subunit ribosomal RNA", at positions 119 to 334 of the family's 1533-position model. The record is from RNAcentral.